Urocitellus parryii (Arctic ground squirrel) is the source of this 528-nucleotide non-coding RNA. The record is from RefSeq and is a predicted model, not a curated record. Lineage: Eukaryota; Metazoa; Chordata; Mammalia; Rodentia; Sciuridae.
CAGCCACUGAAUCACAACCCCAGCCCUGAGACUAUUUAAAGGUACACAGACUCAGCUUGGGAAGCAGUGGCAAGAAGUUUUAAGCAAAGGUACAUCAGUCUCAAGAUUUUUACUGAUGGGGUGAACUAAGGCCUUGCAUAUACUAGGUCCUAUCCUGUAUUUUCCAUUAAUGCCAGGAGUGAAGCUGGACAAGGUGUGUCUAUGAUCCUCCUAUCUACACUGUCCUGAGGGAUGACCAUCUCAUGAGCCCAGGAGAUAGUGGCCAGGAGAAGCAAUAAUGAGAACUCUUGAAUUCAUGAUUGGGUCCUGAGAUCUAGGGCUUUUGUGGCAGCUGCAGGGAUAUCACUUAACCCUUAGGUAGCUGGAUGGAUGCUCGCUCUUUGGAUAGAAGAUUGAAUGUCAUCACUUUAAGUUUCUGAAGAGAUCUGAGUCUAGUUUUGGGCUGGGGGUUAAACCCAUGAAGUAUAUUUCAAGCAUGAUGGGGAAGGGAAUAAAGGUGCCUAAUAAAAGUCACUAAGGAAAAUUUUA